UACCGUGAGGGAAAGGUGAAAAGCACCCCGGAAGGGGAGUGAAAUAGAACCUGAAACCGUGUGCUUACAAGUAGUCAGAGCCCGUUAAUGGGUGAUGGCGUGCCUUUUGUAGAAUGAACCGGCGAGUUACGAUUUGAUGCAAGGUUAAGCAGUAAAUGUGGAGCCGUAGCGAAAGCGAGUCUGAAUAGGGCGUUUAGUAUUUGGUCGUAGACCCGAAACCAGGUGAUCUACCCUUGGUCAGGUUGAAGUUCAGGUAACACUGAAUGGAGGACCGAACCGACUUACGUUGAAAAGUGAGCGGAUGAACUGAGGGUAGCGGAGAAAUUCCAAUCGAACCUGGAGAUAGCUGGUUCUCUCCGAAAUAGCUUUAGGGCUAGCCUCAAGUGAUGAUUAUUGGAGGU
This 401-nucleotide ribosomal RNA is filed under the name Staphylococcus aureus. RNAcentral describes it as "partial 23S ribosomal RNA". It matches the Rfam family "Bacterial large subunit ribosomal RNA", at positions 499 to 903 of the family's 2925-position model. The record is from RNAcentral. Lineage: Bacteria; Bacillati; Bacillota; Bacilli; Caryophanales; Staphylococcaceae.